This 393-nucleotide ribosomal RNA is filed under the name uncultured bacterium. RNAcentral describes it as "partial 16S ribosomal RNA". It matches the Rfam family "Bacterial small subunit ribosomal RNA", at positions 523 to 918 of the family's 1533-position model. The record is from RNAcentral.
AUACGGAGGAUGCGAGCGUUAUCCGGAUUUAUUGGGUUUAAAGGGAGCGUAGGUGGGAUAUUAAGUCAGCUGUGAAAGUUUGGGGCUCAACCUUAAAAUUGCAGUUGAUACUGGUUUCCUUGAGUACGGUACAGGUGGGCGGAAUUCGUGGUGUAGCGGUGAAAUGCUUAGAUAUCACGAAGAACUCCGAUCGCGAAGGCAGCUCACCGGGCCGGAACUGACACUGAUGCUCGAAAGUGCGGGUAUCAAACAGGAUUAGAUACCCUGGUAGUCCGCACAGUAAACGAUGGAUACUCGCUGUCGGCGAUAUACGGUCGGUGGCCAAGCGAAAGCGUUAAGUAUCCCACCUGGGGAGUACGCCGGCAACGGUGAAACUCAAAGGAAUUGACGGGG